AGUCGAAACGCCCCUCGGGGCGUCCGCCGUGGAAUGGCUCCCCGGCGCUGACGAUGACAGGCCAGG
This 66-nucleotide non-coding RNA is filed under the name Flavonifractor plautii. The record is from RNAcentral. Lineage: Bacteria; Bacillati; Bacillota; Clostridia; Eubacteriales; Oscillospiraceae.